GCUACGUAGGGUCAAGCGGCGGCGGUAGGAGGUAGGGGGCGAGCGUGAAUCGGAAUUACUGGGCGUAAAGCGUGCGCAGGCGGGUUGGGAAGACAGGGGUGAAAGCCCCGGGCUUAACCUGGGAACUGCGCUUGUGACUGCCAGGCUAGAGUACGGCAGAGGGGGGUGGAAUUCCACGUGUAGCAGUGAAAUGCGUAGAGAUGUGGAGGAACACCAAUGGCGAAGGCAGCCCCCUGGGUCGAUACUGACGCUCAUGCACGAAAGCGUGGGUAGCAAACAGGAUUAGAUACCCGGGUAGUC
RNAcentral lists this ribosomal RNA (300 nucleotides) under uncultured Bacillus sp. RNAcentral's name for it is "bacterial SSU rRNA". It matches the Rfam family "Bacterial small subunit ribosomal RNA", at positions 496 to 795 of the family's 1533-position model. Lineage: Bacteria; Bacillati; Bacillota; Bacilli; Caryophanales; Bacillaceae. The record is from RNAcentral.